CCGUGCCGGGGAGGCCUUAAAAGGGAAGCCGGUGAAAAUCCGGAACUGUGCCCGCAGCUGUGAACUCCUUAACGGUCCGGCAAGUAUGCCAUCGAGGCCUGUCCUCGAGAAGGCGCCGCGCCGGGAGCAGUCAGAAGACCUGCCUUGUCAAGU
RNAcentral lists this non-coding RNA (153 nucleotides) under bovine gut metagenome. The record is from RNAcentral.